Molecule: unclassified non-coding RNA, 639 nt
Filed under: Osteomeles schwerinae
Lineage: Eukaryota; Viridiplantae; Streptophyta; Magnoliopsida; Rosales; Rosaceae
Description: external transcribed spacer
Source: RNAcentral
AGCGAGUUCGUGCGGCGUCGACGAAGCUUCUCGGCACCCGUUGAACCGUUCGGUUGUCCCUGUUGCCUUCGUAUGUGUUUUCAUGCCUAGCGGUGCGGCUCGGCUCCUACCUGGCGUAUUUGCACUCGAGACUCAUCCCUUUAUCGGGCUAGUCGAGAUGUGUUUUUCGUUGGGCGGUGCUGGGUUUAGCUAACGUGACGGCGUAUGAGUGGUAAUUGGGUUGUAUUCGACGGCAGGCUCCGUGCUUCGGCAUCGAACUGUCGGCUCGUACCCCGCUUCAGUGAUGCACCAAGAUUCGUCUUGUGCGCGAGAUGGGUUUCUGUUUUGGCUACCUAUUGCGAAGGAAUGUUGCCUCUCGUCGUCCCUUUCCUCCUCCUGCUGGCCUUGCUGGCGGGAGGACGACAUCGUAGCGGCGCUCGUGUCCCGGGCGAGCCACACGCGUUGUGGUGCAGUUUCGGUCCUCGAGUUUCCCCUCGACAUCUCGGAUGCGGAACGCUAAAGGGGCGGUGGGUUUUUUUACGACCUCCGAUCGUCCAUUCGAAGCCUUGUCGCUUGAUGCGUACGACUGUCGUGCCCGUUGCGAGCUGUCGACCGUUGCGGUCGUCAGUCUAGCGCGGCGCCGGCGUCGAAGAGGAAUGC